This 66-nucleotide transfer RNA is filed under the name Drosophila takahashii. RNAcentral's name for it is "tRNA-Trp". It matches the Rfam family "tRNA". Rfam says of the family: Transfer RNA (tRNA) molecules are approximately 80 nucleotides in length. Their secondary structure includes four short double-helical elements and three loops (D, anti-codon, and T loops). Lineage: Eukaryota; Metazoa; Arthropoda; Insecta; Diptera; Drosophilidae. The record is from RNAcentral.
AGGCUUUAAGUUAAUUAAACUAAUAGCCUUCAAAGCUGUAAAUAUGGGGUAUUCCUUUAAGCCUUA